GAUGAAGAACGUAGCGAAAUGCGAUAAGUAGUGUGAAUUGCAGAAUUCAGUGAAUCAUCGAAUCUUUGAACGCACAUUGCGCCCCUUGUUAUUCCAUGGGGCAUGCCUGUUCGAGCGUCAUUUGUACCUUCAAGCUUUGCUUGGUGUUGGGUGUUUGUCUCGCCUUUGCGUGUAGACUCGCCUUAAAAUAAGUGGCAGCCGGCGUAUUGAUUUCGGAGCGCAGUACAUCUCGCGCUUUGCACUCAUAACGACAGCGUCCAAAAGUACAUUUUACACUCUUGACCUCGGAUCAGGUAGGGAUACCCGCUGAACUUAAGCAUAUCAAUAAGCGGAGGA
This 336-nucleotide unclassified non-coding RNA is filed under the name soil metagenome. RNAcentral's name for it is "partial contains 5.8S ribosomal RNA, internal transcribed spacer 2, and large subunit ribosomal RNA". The stretch from base 1 to 120 matches the Rfam family "5.8S ribosomal RNA", at positions 35 to 154 of the family's 154-position model. The record is from RNAcentral.